AACGAACGCUGGCGGCAGGCUUAACACAUGCAAGUCGAACGCACCGCAAGGUGAGUGGCAGACGGGUGAGUAACACGUGGGGAUCUGCCCAAUGGUACGGAAUAGCUCCGGGAAACUGGAAUUAAUACCGUAUGUGCCCUUCGGGGGAAAGAUUUAUCGCCAUUGGAUGAACCCGCGUCGGAUUAGCUAGUUGGUGAGGUAAAGGCUCACCAAGGCGACGAUCCGUAGCUGGUCUGAGAGGAUGAUCAGCCACACUGGGACUGAGACACGGCCCAGACUCCUACGGGAGGCAGCAGUGGGGAAUAUUGGACAGUGGGCGCAAGCCUGAUCCAGCCAUGCCGCGUGAGUGAUGAAGGCCUUAGGGUUGUAAAGCUCUUUCGCCGACGAAGAUAAUGACGGUAGUCGGAGAAGAAGCCCCGGCUAACUUCGUGCCAGCCGCCGCAUAA
Molecule: ribosomal RNA, 446 nt
Filed under: uncultured bacterium
Lineage: Bacteria
Description: partial 16S ribosomal RNA
Rfam family: Bacterial small subunit ribosomal RNA
Source: RNAcentral